GAGAGUAUAGCUCAGUGAUAGAGUGCAUGCUUAGCAUGCACUAAGCAUGCACCAAGGUCCUGGGUUCAAUCCCCAGUGCCUCCA
This 84-nucleotide transfer RNA is filed under the name Camelus bactrianus (Bactrian camel). It matches the Rfam family "tRNA". From Rfam's summary of the family: Transfer RNA (tRNA) molecules are approximately 80 nucleotides in length. Lineage: Eukaryota; Metazoa; Chordata; Mammalia; Artiodactyla; Camelidae. The record is from Rfam by way of RNAcentral. RNAcentral also lists the same sequence under 2 other names.